RNA transcript from Rhineura floridana, 923 nucleotides. It is a transcript of the gene named RNA polymerase I-specific transcription initiation factor RRN3-like, with no coding region annotated. The record is from RefSeq and is a predicted model, not a curated record. Lineage: Eukaryota; Metazoa; Chordata; Lepidosauria; Squamata; Rhineuridae. The transcript is spliced from 4 exons.
GGCUUCAGCUGUGUCUGGGGUGCUCUGCAGCUGAGGGGGAGAAGGAGCUGGGUUCUCAGGAGUUUCCUCCGUUUCUCCUUCUGGGUCUGCUGCUUCUGGGUCUGCUGCUGUUACUCCCGAGUCAUCCUCAUCUGAUGAGUCCUCUGACGGGGCCAUGACAAGAAGAAGGAGGUGGCGUCCUGGAUCGGGUCAUCUGAGCCAUGUCAGCGGGGAACGCGGAGCAGCGAGAACAUGGGGCCUCGGGAGGGCGUCGCAGCAAAUGGGACCAGCCUGGACCAUCUCCGGCUCUCUUCCUUCUUCCUGCAACCACUCCUGCGGCGGGCCACCCUGUCCAGGGCAGCGGAGACAGUGUAUCUGGGAUGUCAGGGUCUGAGGGCUCAGCGGCCCCUCUGGGAGCUCUGGAUGCAGCUGCUGCAGUAGCAGCCAAAAUCAAUGCCAUGUUAAUGGCCAAAGGGAAGCUGUAAUCAGCAGACAAGAUCAAAGAACGUAAUUAGCCCAUUAUAUCAAUUUUGGGAAGAGGUGUGUGCUGAGGACCUCAUCGAGGCUACAGGCGCCACUAAUGAGUGCAAAGGUGAAGAGGAAGAUGACUUUUUGAAAGGCGAAACUCCUCAAAAUGAAGGCAUGAUUGGAUUGAUGCCAGGCUCCUUCGACUCUACUCUUCAGAGUUCAGAACAUUGCCUAGGGUCGCCGCCAAUAAUCUCUCUAUAGAUGCCACUCUGAAGAAUGCCCUCCCCAGUGAUGGUCACCUAUCUCCCUCAUUAUUGACUCUCAGGAAAAAUUUAAAAAAUAUUCUUGUUUACCUAGGCAUUUGAUGGCUGAAAAAUACUGAUCCAGGCAACUCUGAAAUCAUCAGGUGAGAGAAUGUGAUGGUUUUUAACUGUUUUUAUAAUGUUUUUAAUGAUAUUGUGCUAUUGAUAUGUUUG